This 336-nucleotide unclassified non-coding RNA is filed under the name uncultured Gammaproteobacteria bacterium. RNAcentral's name for it is "partial 16S-23S ribosomal RNA intergenic spacer". The stretch from base 212 to 336 matches the Rfam family "Bacterial large subunit ribosomal RNA", at positions 1 to 124 of the family's 2925-position model. The record is from RNAcentral. Lineage: Bacteria; Pseudomonadati; Pseudomonadota; Gammaproteobacteria.
CCUCCUUAACGAUAAUUUCGAAUUUCAAACGCCCACACGAGUAACCAAAUAUUUAAAAGAACAUACUGAUAUGUAAAAUUUUUGGUAUGUAAUUUUCUAGUAUAUGCAUUUAUGCAUAUAUAAGAUCACUGCAAUUUAAUUAGAAAAGUAAUUAAUAUAUUUUAUUAAGUACUCUCAAAAAAGCGAAAAAUAACCUUUUUUAAGGUUAUAUGAUCAAGUAAAGGAAGAGCACAAGGCGGAUGCCUUGGCAGCAGAAGGCGAUGAAGACGUAGUAACUUGCGAUAAGCCUCGGGGAGCUGGUAAACAAGCUUCGAUCCGAGGAUUUCCGAAUGGGGA